GAUGAACGCUGGCGGCGUGCCUAAUACAUGCAAGUCGAGCGAACGGACGAGAAGCUUGCUUCUCUGAUGUUAGCGGCGGACGGGUGAGUAACACGUGGAUAACCUACCUAUAAGACUGGGAUAACUUCGGGAAACCGGAGCUAAUACCGGAUAAUAUUUUGAACCGCAUGGUUCAAAAGUGAAAGACGGUCUUGCUGUCACUUAUAGAUGGAUCCGCGCUGCAUUAGCUAGUUGGUAAGGUAACGGCUUACCAAGGCAACGAUGCAUAGCCGACCUGAGAGGGGGAUCGGCCACACUGGAACUGAGACACGGUCCAGACUCCUACGGGAGGCAGCAGUAGGGAAUCUGCCGCAAUGGGCGAAAGCCUGACGGAGCAACGCCGCGUGAGUGAUGAAGGUCUUCGGAUCGUAAAACUCUGUUAUUAGGGAAGAACAUAUUUGUAAGUAACUGUGCACAUCUUGACGGUACCUAAUCAGAAAGCCACGGCUAACUACGUG
This 497-nucleotide ribosomal RNA is filed under the name uncultured bacterium. Its description in RNAcentral is "partial 16S ribosomal RNA". It matches the Rfam family "Bacterial small subunit ribosomal RNA", at positions 28 to 507 of the family's 1533-position model. The record is from RNAcentral.